Molecule: long non-coding RNA, 3104 nt
Organism: Erpetoichthys calabaricus (reedfish)
Lineage: Eukaryota; Metazoa; Chordata; Cladistia; Polypteriformes; Polypteridae
Exons: 3
Source: RefSeq, a predicted model, not a curated record
UUGUCCAAAAGUGGCCAAGUGUGUGGCUCAGUGGUAUUUGUUCCCCUUCGAAACGUCACCGGCCCCCCACUUUAAAAGGCAUCCCCCUCAGACCUGAGGCUCAUUCCCGCAGAGAGCUGCAGACCCGCUCUGAAACACGGGAUGAUUGAACGAAACAUUAGGGGUUACCACAUGUGGUAAUCUCGCCUCCAUAGGUGGGAAGCCACCUUGCAUCUUGGACCUGAAGGGAGAGACCUUGGUUUGAUUAUACCAAUGAAGAAGUCUGAGCUGGAUGUGUAGACAAGAAGGGGCUAAGAAUAUCUCACCACAAUGUGCCAAGUGAGUUGUGAUUCAAGAAGAAGCCAAGUUCCCCAAUUCAUGGAUUGCCAGUUCCCUCUUUCUUUGAAGAAGAACACGAGUGAAAGCUUCCAAGCUGCUCAAUUUGACUCGGACAAAAUAGCCAUCACAUAGAAUCUAAAAACAACAAACCUCUUUGUCCUAGUUAAGACAACAAACAAAUGUGUUCAGAAUAAUUUUGGGAAGUGGGGUAGCUAAAUGGAGAUCACUUCAAACAACUACAAACCAAAAUAACCAAAAUAGUGAAAAGCCAUCAAACUCCUUCAAGCGUUUCUAAAUUUUCAAAUAUUUCCUCAAAAAAACCCCAAAAACCAUAAUUCAGAUGCCAACGACACACCUGAGUGUCCCCCUGCCAUUCCAGUGUACUGCUCAUAUGAUAACAUCGCAUAACGGUGGAAGCAGCAGUGCACACUACUGUUCACGCAUCCAUACUGUAUAUACAUAUAUGUGGCCUGUAGGGGGCGUCUCACAUCCCCAAACACCAAUCCAGGAGUCCAAACUGACCAAGCAAAACAAAGACUCUGAUAACCAAAUCUCAAUCAGUGAUACAGGGGAACAAUAAAGUACAACCAACACAGAAAAUGAUAAACCCUUCUGCCCCUCUGGAGUCUAACUAAACAACAGUAACCCCCUGGCUUCUCUGUUACCACAUUUCUCCUGCUCACUGUCGGUCUCCUUCCUCCAUCUGUCCAGCUGAACUCGUCACCUGCUGCCUCUCAAACUUAAAGCUGUCUGAGCAAAGGAACAUUGAUGACCCCUGGAAGUUUUUACAGCAGGGUACCCAGAAGGUGGUUGAGGAACGACAAGCCUCUUUUAUACUGUGACCCAACCCCCUUCUGUGUACAUUUCUGUAAGCACUUCCGGGGUCCCCGCUGUCAAUGGUCUCUGGUGUUGUUUGGGUAGGACCCUAAGAAGCAGCACCACAGAUUCCCACAUGUUAGCCCCACUAAAGAGGUGUCUUCCAGAUUGGUUGUCCUCUCCAGGAUGCCCGUGAGGAUACAACACAUCACCCCUUAGUGGUCUGGGGAACCUCAAACCCUGUAAUAGGGCUUAUAUAAUGGCCUACAGCGGUCUUGAAACAGCUGUUGCUGUGAAGGUAGCAUCCUCUGCUGGACAUUUUGCUACCCAGAUUAACUUCACUAUAUACAGUAUAUAUAGAGCAAACUCUUAAAUUAAAUUAUACACGAGGGGGGACCCAAAAAUAAAGAGAAUUAAAAAUAAAAUCAUAUAUUUCUCAGAACAUUUCCAAAAUUUAGGCACCCUCAAAAUGCUCUCCCUGAGACACAAUACACUUGUCCCACCACUUUUUCCAUUGAUCAAAACUGUUUCGAAACCCUUGCAAAGUGAUAGCCUCCAGUGCCCCAUCAUUUGCUUCUCGACCUCCUCUACAUCCUGAAAAUGUUUUCUUUUAAUGUCCCUCUUCAUUCUUGGAAAUAAGAAAAUAUCGCAGGGUGCAAGGUCCGGGAAAUGGGGGGGGGGGAUUGGGUGGGUGGGAAAUUGUUGUCAUCCCCUUUUCCGUGAGAAACUUCUGCACACUCAGUGCUGUGUAGGGGGGAGCGUUGUCGUGAUACUGAAGCCACUCGCCUGAUUGCCACAAUUCAGGUAAUUUUCUCCACACUGCAUCACGCAAUCGCUUCAGCACUUCGAGGACUCCGCUUGGCCAAAUGAUGCAGAGGACAGUCUAGUAGAUGCACCUAACGACAAACAUCGGAACUAAUGCCCCUCACAAUUCUCAUUAUCUUUGGGUCCCUCCUCGUGUAUAUCUAUAUACUGUAUAUAUAUAUGUGUGUGUGUGUGUGUACACCUCCAAGGAUUAAUUUAGUACCUUAGAAUUUAAUUUUAACGUUUGCUAUCUAACAUUUUCUCGAUCUGGUGAUUCAUCUAGAUUUCAAAUCCUACCACACAAAUAUAUUACCCCUCUACACACACGCAGGCCCAGAACGAGACUCUCAAACCACCCAAGUCUGCUCUUCAGCCAUCCUCUGCCCUUCUCAUGGCAUCACGUUCAAGACCCAAAAUGCUCUGCCAGAUUGUCAAAAGCACAAAAUGUAAGAUCAGUUCAGGCAGGUUGAUGGUUUUCCCCCUUAUGGUUACCUUGACAGACCCCUGGGUAAUGACUUCCUGCUCCUCCAUGCCACAUUCCACUCCAAUGCAAUGCCAAAGGCAAACAAAUCUAAUUGUUCAUCUUCUCGAGCCCCCCAACUCCGCCUCACCCUGACUCAGUGAAACAGAAAGGGACAAAACACAUGCAUCAAGCUGCAUUCCAGCUGUCGUCCAUCUUGGCAUGGAGGAGAAAAAUAUGACACAAAAUUCCCUGAAAUGUCUUAUCCUUCUAAACAUUCCCCUUUGCACACACCUAACAUGUUUUUCUAAUUGGUUAACUAUAUAAUAAUAGAUAAUGGCAUGGGAAAGGUGCUAUAUAAAUAAAAUGUAUUAUUAUUAUUAUUAUUAUACAGCCAUAUCAUAAUGUUUCAUUGAUUUUUGAGUCUGAGGUUCAAAGAACAAAUUGGAAAUGGACUUGGUGGACAUGUGGGAACUUUACGGUUUAGCCAAAGUGAAAUCCCACUACUGUGUUUGAUGUUCUUAUCCAGCAAAAGACAACCAAAGACGGAAAACGAAUUUGCAGGGUCCGUCUCUAAGGUCUUGCCAUCGUUACAGUGCCAAGUCAGGUCUAAAGAUGCCCAGGGUGGUGCACGGCGAGCCUGCGCUCUGGUGCUACAUGGUUGGGAGAAGGUGUCAAGGCACUCCCGUAAAACUAUUUGAUGCAA